AAAACGACCAACCAACGACCUCGCUUCGGCCAUCUUGGCAUCUUCAUCUUGGCGACCUUGCCUUGCCGUGGAUUGUUUUUAGUUGUUUGUAUUAUUUGUGCUUUUUAAGAAUAUUUUUUUAAUUCGGAUACUUUUAUAAUAGCUUUAAUAGUAUUAUUAACAUAGUGCAUAAAAUGGUGUCCUGUUUUUAACGCAGUUGGAGUAGCAGAAACAAAUGUAGAUAAAAAAAUCUGCAGGAAUAACGUUUCAAUUAUGACAGAAGCUCCAAACAAAUGACUGAAUGAAAAGCCCUAUUAAAAGCUUUCCAGAAGAUCCUGCGAAGAAGACAUGAAGUAUAGAUCAGAUUUGUUAAUAGAGGAGUAUGUUCAAAACACUUUUUAGAAAAAGAUAUUGACAGAACUUCACUUUCAUCUGUUCGUUUGAGAGACUGUGCUGUUCCAAUAGCUUAUGUCACACAGGAAAGACCAAGACCAGACCAAGGAAAAGCUGGAACACUAGUGUAAACGAAAUACUCAAGAAAAGAGGAACAUCGUGGCAAGAAGCAAAAGUUUUAGCAGCAGAUAGGAAGAAGUGGCGUAAAUUUGCAGAGAGUAUUAUAUAAAGGAGGAAUCCUCGACACCUAAUAUGGUAAAAGAGGCAACCGAUUAUAAUCAGCUGAGAGAAGUGGUCUACAAAAAACCAGAAAGGAAACGGAAUAUGUGGCUACGAAAAGCAAAAGAAAGGUUUACAAAGCAAAUGUGACACAUUUUUUUAUAAUAUUUAGGAAUGUCAGCAAAUUACAUUAAAAAAUGUAUGUAAAGAUUUUUUGCAAUAAAAAUGUUUAUAUUUA
RNAcentral lists this long non-coding RNA (829 nucleotides) under Diabrotica virgifera virgifera (western corn rootworm). Its description in RNAcentral is "uncharacterized LOC126887723". The record is from RNAcentral. Lineage: Eukaryota; Metazoa; Arthropoda; Insecta; Coleoptera; Chrysomelidae.